Molecule: ribosomal RNA, 653 nt
Filed under: Clostridioides difficile
Lineage: Bacteria; Bacillati; Bacillota; Clostridia; Peptostreptococcales; Peptostreptococcaceae
Description: partial 23S ribosomal RNA
Rfam family: Bacterial large subunit ribosomal RNA
Source: RNAcentral
GCAGCCACUCAUUCAAAGAGUGCGUAAUAGCUCACUGGUCGAGUGAUCCUGCGCCGAAGAUUUCCGGGGCUAAAACUUACUACCGAAGCUACGGCAUCAGUAAUGAUGGGUAGGGGAGCUUCCCAUACGGGUUGAAGCAUGACCGUAAGGACAUGUGGACAGUAUGGGAGUGAGAAUGUUGGCAUGAGUAGCGAGAUGUGGGUGAGAAUCCCACAGGCCGUAAACCCAAGGUUUCCAGGGGAAGGUUCGUCCGCCCUGGGUUAGUCGGGACCUAAGCUGAGGCCGAAAGGCAUAGGUGAUGGACAACAGGUUGAUAUUCCUGUACUACCGAUAACCGUUUGAGAGAUGGGAUGACACAGUAGGAUAAGCUAAGCACACUGUUGGUUAUGUGUGCCCAAGCAUUGAGGCAGUCAAAGUAGGUAAAUCCGCUUUGAUAAUGCUGGGAUGUGAUGGGGAGCGAAAUUUAGUAGCGAAGUAGCUGAUUUCACACUGUCAAGAAAAGUCUCUAUCGAGGUUAAAGGUACCCGUACCGCAAACCGACACAGGUGGGUGAGGAGAGUAUCCUAAGGCCAGCGAGAGAACUGUUGUUAAGGAACUCGGCAAAAUGACCCCGUAACUUAGGGAUAAGGGGUGCCACCAUCAGGUGGCCGCAG